RNAcentral lists this long non-coding RNA (14433 nucleotides) under Cucumis sativus (cucumber). RNAcentral describes it as "long non-coding RNA (CSAT_LNC002056)". The record is from RNAcentral. Lineage: Eukaryota; Viridiplantae; Streptophyta; Magnoliopsida; Cucurbitales; Cucurbitaceae.
CCACUUUGUUUAUCAACCUCUGCUAUAUUCCCAUCUACGUUAAUCACCAGCUUCCCAUUCUCUCCUAACUUCACAUCGCCGAACAGUGAAACAAGCAGGGCAUGAAUUACCUUCUCUGCUUUCUUCACGUUCUCUUCUUCUGUUUUUACAGCCUCCGACUCCACUAUGACUUUCGGAACCUCGCGGUUGAUGUUGAGAAUGAGUGCUACCACGGAAUCUGAUACCAUGUCGCUUAAAGGGUCGGAUGUCCAGUGAAGUGAGACAUGUUUCUCUGAUUCCUGCUUCACGGUUACUCGGUCAUGCACACGAAUCAUUGGAACGCCGGAUUCAUCAUCUGUUGAAGAUUCUACACUCUCAUAUACCUGUUUGAGCCUACGUACGAUCACAUUAAAGGCGUUGGAGUAUGGAAUUGUAAUGCGCUGGUUGAUGUUUGCAGUUGAUAGCUGAGAGAAAAUGUGUAGAUCCUCUGGUGCCAUUAUUUGAUAUGCAAAUCCUUUCUUCACUAGUAAACCGCUGACAGUUUCGCCAACGUCUGGAGUCUUCUCAGCCAAUUUUCCAAUAGUUUUUGCCAUUUUCUGGGAGUUGAAAUACAUCUCAACAGACUGACAAUUCUUCGGAGUGAGAAUCUUUGUAUUCCGAUCAGCAAAUUGGGACAUAAGCUUCUGUUUCAGCCUCCCCAUCUCAUUAGCUUCUCCAUGGACGAGAAUUAUGUUGGGUGGCAUGAGCUCUUCCAAGAAUGCACUCGUCUGCGCAAAGUCAGCAUGGGCAGAGAAAGAAAUGUAAUGAACCUGCAUGUUGAGAGGAGCCAUGAGUCCACUCAUGAGGGUGACUUCCUUUGGCUCAUUGAUUAUAGUCUUAGCUAGUGUACCUUCAACGACAUAACCAGGAAGCACACAUGAAUUUUUCUUAUCAGAACACCACAUUUCAAAGAGCUGUCGUGACAAACCGCUUUGAAGUCCACUAGGGCUGGCCAUCACCACUGAUGGGCCAACAUCCUUGAAAACUUCAAUGCUCUUUAGUGGGGAUAUGUACUUGAAUCUGAAGGGGUUUGAUUUGGCAUUUUGGAUCCUAUCAUUCAUGGAGAGCGUAUAUGUCUCAUAAACAGUCAAACAUCUUUUUGCCAGAGGAGAAGCAUAGUAUAUGGGAAUAUUAUGGAGCUCAGGAUGGUUUGCCCAAUAUUCAUCAAGAAUAAGGAGGAGCUCCUGGGCACGUCCAAGGGCAAAAGCUGGAAUCAGUACACGACCACCUUGAGAAAUGGUUGAAUGAACAACAUCGGUAAAACGCUUCUCUCGAAUAUGUCGAGGUUGAUGGAGCUGGACACCAUAUGUGGAUUCAAUUAUGCAAACAUCAGGAGAAAACUGAGGCAUCUCGGCAGCCCGAAGAUGCCGAUCUUCUUCACGUGAAUAGUCUCCAGUGUAGAGAACUCGGACACCAGCAAUAUCCACCAUAAACAUGGCAGCACCAAGCACAUGACCAGCAGUGUAACACCAAAACCGAAUACCAUUAACUUCUACUGUUUGGUGGAAAUCAAUGACCUGCAAUUACUGUGCACUAUUAUUAAAUAAGAGUAACCGAUAUCCAUUUUCAACUAUACAAAUCAGGGUGCAAGGAUAUGAAACCCAUGCAAGUUGACAACAACAUAACCAAUAUAAUGAUUCUGCAUUCCACCAUAGCUGGCUCAUUAUCAUUAUUACCUCGAGGACUUACAUGACUAUCAUACAGAUAUCUUUGCUAUUUUAUCAUCUUUCAAUAAGAUUAUUAGAAAUGUAACAGCUGGUGAUAUAUAUUUAAAUUUGCCUUCAACCACCAGCUUAAGCUUUUGGGUGAAUUGGCAGUUUAAUAGUAACAUUUAAAUGAAACUGAACUUCACAAAACAGCCAAUUUCAAUGAAUACAACAAAAGACCACUUGUAGUUCAAUCAUAUUUGAUUCUGAAAUUUUAAGGACUGAAUUUCAAAAUUUUAAUGGAAAAAGUUAACAAACAACUAAAGCAGAAGGGGAUAAGGGCAGAGGCAGACGAAUGACAGAUAGUGCGCGUGGAAAGUACAUUUGAUAAACAGUUACUAAAUAAAACGUCAAGCAGAUUUUUAAUAGAAGGUACGAUUUUGGUAGAAUCACUGAAAAUUAAUUAUCACCAUGGAUGAAACAGCAAGUCAAGACUCGAGAGAUGUUCACAAUGAGAAAUAAUUUACCUCAAUCUUGUCCAUGGAACGACUUAUGUCCUGCUCAUCGUACAACAUAUCUUCAACCGAAACUUUGCUCACUUUCACAAAGUCUAAGAGCAACAACUUGUAGAUCGCUUUAGUAGCAUAAGUCAUAAAGACUCGUCCUUUGAAUGUAGUCUAUCAAAUUAAUGCUAGAUUAGUUUCUGUACUCGAGCAACAAUCACAUUGAAAUUCAAAUAGAAAGUACCUUCUCCAAGAAAUAAGGGAGAGAUGCAGCAUGGUCCAAAUGAAAGCUGUGAAAUAAAUGUGCAUGAAAUUAUCUUGGUUAAAAGAACACAAAAAACAAUAAGAGGCAGAAAUAAAGAGAGCUAAAAAGAAUUAGAAUCUCGUGCCAUGAUCAGAUUUGAAACACUGUGAAAAACUGCUCCUCGGGAAUAUUUGCAUUUUCCAUGAUUUUAAUAAGGAGGCAUGAGUUUUAACGAAAUGUAGAACACGUGUUUCGAAAGAACGUGAUCAGGAAGGAAAAACCUUUAUGUUUGGGGCAAAGAUGUUAAAGCAGUGACCUUAUACCCAUUCUAAAGUGCAACUGCAAAUAACCAUCCACCAUCAUUCACUAAUUUUGCACAAGUAAAAAAGAGCAAUAUAAUACAAAACGUCCGAGUUAAGAGCUGCAUUGUUUAAAAUUUUAAAAAGAACGAACGAAUAAAACACAUACUGGGUAAUGAGCAGGACAUCAAUCGUUGAGGGGUCAAUCUCAUCAAAGUAAGGCAAAGCAGCCAUGCCAGAGUAAGCAGGGUGAAUUCCACAAUCAAACUGUCAACCAGAGGAGAAAAGAAAAAUUACCACUAACACAAUUAAACCUCCAUAUGUUAAAUUAUAUUUAUACCCCGAUAGUAAAUGAGAAAUAAUAAUGAGUUCAAAGCAUACCAAAACAAUUUUGCCUUUGUAAGACAUAUAUACACAGGAACGACCCACUUCAUUGCCAGCCCCAAGAGGAGUUAUAAUAAGCUGAUCCUCCUCUCUGGUCGAGGAUGCAUCCCGUUUCUUAAGUGAUGGCGGCUGUCCAAGAGAAGCCAUUUCUCCAAAAUCUUUCCAAAAGGGAAGACUGAAUUAAAUCUUACAAUUCCAAAAUAUACAAACAUAAUAAGUAAUUGCACAGAGUAUGAGUGAAACAGAAACAGAUCAAAAAAAUGCUGAAGAAGAAGGAAAAAGAGAGUGAAGUUAGUAAGUAAAAGAGAGAACAUGUGUAGAAAGAGAACUUACAGUGUUGUAGAUGAAAGAAGAAAGAGAAGGAGAAAUUCAAAAAAGAACUGUGAAUUGUUUGUUGGGUUUUAGACGGAGAAAUUCAACGGGAGAGAAGAGAAGAGGAGAGAAGGAAGGAGAAAUUUUAGACGAGGAGGGUAGUUUGGGAAAUCGGCCCUUGGAAAAAGAAGAUGAAAAAAAAUGAAAAAGCCGACCACAGUGGGAGUCGAACCCACGACCUUCUGAUCCGAAGUCAGACGCGCUAAUCCACUGCGCUAUGCGGUCAUUUGUUGAUUACGAAGAGAAAUUAAAUUAAUUAUAUGAUAAUUAUAUUUUCAAUUAUAAAUUAAUUAAGAUAUGAUUCAAUUUCCAUAACACACAACAAAUUUUCAAAAUCGCUCUAUUCAUUUAAGUACUAGGACAAUCAUAAAAAGUGUUCAAGAUACAAGUGUGAUUUUUUUUGUAUACCGAGAGUAUUUACAUAUCUCAAAUUAGUAUAAAAAAAUAUAGAUCAUUCAAUUUUGUAUUUUAACACGUUCAUCGACUAAAGUAUUUUAAUCAAAUAGAUCGUUAGAGUUAGUCAUUGAUAAGAUUAUCAGUGUAUGAGCCGCUAGAGAUGACUACUACAUGUAGUCAUCUAAAGAUUGUCGUAAUUAAUAGUCAAAGUUGAUCUUUAAUAGAUGGACAAUGGUGACGAUCAAGGUCAAAACAAGAGAAACAAAUAAAUUGUAUAAAGAAUCAGAACUUACGAAUUGAGUUAUUUUUAUUGCAAUGAAAACAUUACAAGUUUUGAAUGGUAAAUAAAAAACUAACCACUGAUGUCCUAACACACUGACUUCAAAAUUCUUCACCCAUUUCACUAAGCCAAUAACUUAAGUUCACAAAAAAAAUACUAAUUUAAUUACUUAGCACUAAUUCUUGACAAAGUUAUGUAAUCCAAGUUGGUCAUCAGAUAACUGUCAUCAAAGUGAGCUAACAGAUGAUGGCUGCGCCUAGACUAGAUCACUAACAUGUGGAGAAACUAGAGUUUUGUAGUCUUAACGUGCAAGUGGUAAUUAUGCCACAAUAGUAAAGAUCAUUGACUAAAGGAUAAAUUUCAAUCGUAUGGUAUAGAAAAAGUUCAAAUUAGGUCUCCUCGUAGUUUGAUUAAAUAUGAUUAACUUAUAUAUAAUACAACAGAUAAAACUAUAAAAUCUAAUGACUACAAGGAAUAACAAAACUACCAAAACUUGCCUUCAGAUUUCUGUCAAUAUAACACAGCAUCAGAAUAAGUUAAUAAGUUUAAGCAUUAUAAAAAUUAAGUGCAUCCCAUCCUUGAAGGAGAAGAAGCAGGCUGACUCACGCUCGUUAUAUCUCAAAUUCAAAUGCAGUUCAAGCUCCUGCAGCAAAAAGACAACCUCCAAAGAAAAUUUGCCUCCCACUUUUCACAAUAUUCUUUGCGCCUCCUUCCGAGUGCUCCUAACUACAGGGAAGCUUUCUCUGAUUGUUCUUUUUCUUUUUUUUUCUACUAAUGAGAAACAUGAUACAAAAUGGAACUGGCCCAGAGCUUCUGUACAGAUCUAUUCACAUUAAAUAUUCAGACAGCCUCAGAAUUUCCACUGCAAAAAUCAAAAGUUUUCGUUAUUAAAAUGUAACAAUAAACCACAUAUUCUUGUCCACUUCCGAAGUGUUUUGGGUCACUGAAUUGAAUUAUGAAGUGUAAGUCAAUAUGCUGAGUUAAGAGUUUGUACUUGGAUGUUGAGUUGUAUGAUGGAAUUCUUAGAUGAAAGGAAAGAUAGAAUUUCAACAAAUAUGUGAACUUCAUUGUUGAAGUCUGUUUAACCAUCAACUUAGAAGUUGGUGGGUCAAAAACCAGUUUAUAGAGAUUUCUAAAGAGAGACAAAUAUUCUACUCAGAAUCAGUGGCAAAUAUCAAGUCAUACCAUGAAUUAUGAGAUUGUAUCGAUUAAGACCUAGAACUAAUAAUUGUAUCAACUCAACUAAAGAACUUUGUCAUAUAAAUUUAAACAUCAAACUAAUAGUUGUACAAAAUUAAACCUGAACUUUCAUAAAAUUUAAAGCAACUUAUAUCAAUUCAAACUCUCAACUUUCAUAAGUGUAUCCAAAUAGAACAUAAUGGAAGGUUUAAAUUGAUACAAUUAUUAGUUAAGGGUUUAAAUUGAUACAAUUAUUAGUUAAGGGUUUAAAUCGAUACAAACUCCAAAUUCAAGGAUAUAAAUUGAUAUUCUCCCAAGAAUUGAUUAUAAUGUGAUAAGAAAAAUCAAUGGACCAUACUAUUUAAGGUUUACUAAAUUAGAAUGUCUUACUUGAUCGUCCCAUGUUUGUCCACAGGAAAUGUAGUUUCGUCGUUCUUCCUGCAUGUUUCUUUGGAAACCUGGGGAAAAUCUCUGACCUUCAAUAGAACUUGGGUACUGUCCUUGACCAUAAGGCAUUCCUGCUCCAUGACCACGAUAUCUACCUUGCUCAUACGGUCCACCCUGUGCAGAAUUAAAGCCACUAGAAAAAAUACGCUGGCCUAGUCGAGGCACAUAGUCUCUCUGCUCUCCUUGAGGGAGACAAUUUUCUAGCAUAUCAUGGGUAUAAUUUCCCUGCCCCCUUUGACUGUAGUUUACUGCAUGAUAAGGCAUUAGACCUCUUCCUCCAUAAUAGGAAUCUCUUCCUUUAGGAAUAUAAGUGUUCAUAGGUGAAUAAUCUCUCCUUUCUCCAAGCCCUCCACUACCAUAAUUACUUGGGCCUAGUGGAGGCAUAUAAUCUCUAUGCUCUCCCUGAGGGAAAUAAUUUCUUUGCACGUCAUGGUUAUAACUUCCAUGCCCCCUUUGAUUGUAGUUUACUUGAUGAUAAGGAAUUGGACCUCUUCCUCCCUGAUAGGAAUCUCUUCCUUCAUAACUUCCAUGCCCCCUUUGAUUGUAGUUUACUUGAGGAUAAGGAAUUGGACCUCUUCCUCCCUGAUAGGAAUCUCUUCCUUCGGUAGCAUAAGUGUUCAUAGGUGAAUAAUUUCUCCUUUCUCCAAUCCCUCGAGUAAAGCCACUACCAUAAUUACUCUGGCCUAGUGGAGGCACAUAAUCUAUUUGCUCUCGUUGAGAAUGAUAAUUUCCUUGCACAUCACAAUUAUAACUUUCCUGCACCCUUUGAAUGUCGUUUACUUGAUGAUAAGGCAUUGGACCUCUUCCUCCCUGAUAGGAAUCUCUUACUUCAGGAGCAUAAGUGUUCAUAGGUGAAUACUCUCUCCUUUCUUGAAGCCCUCGAGUAAAGCCACUACCAUAAUUACUCUGGCUUGGUGGAGGCAUAUAAUCUAUCUGUUCUCGUUGAGACCAGUAAUUUCCUUGCAUGUCAUAAUUAUAAAUUUCCUGCACCCUUUGAUUGUAGUUUCCUCGAUGAGAAGGCAUUGGACCUCUUCCUCCUUGAUAGGAAUCUCUUCCUUCAAGAGCGCUAGUAUUCAUAGGUGAAUGAUCUCUCUUUUCUCGAAGCCCUUGAGUAAAGUCACUACCAUAAGUACUCUGACCUGGUGGAAGCACAUAAUCUCUUUGCUCUCCCCGAGGGAGAUAAUUUCCUUGCACUUCAUGGUUAUAACAUCCAUGCCCCCUCUGCUCUCCCUGAGGGAGAUAAUUUCCUUGCACUUCAUGGUUAUAACUUCCAUACCCCCUUUGAUUGUAGUUUACUUGAUGAUAAGGCAUUGGACCUCUUCCUCCUUGAUAGGAAUCUCUUGCUUCAGGAGCAUAAGUGUUCAUAGGUGAAUAAUCUCUCCUUUCUCGAAGCCCUUGAGUAAAGCCACUACCAUAAUUACUCUGGAUUGGUGGAGGCAUAUAAUCUAUCUGCUCUCGUUGUGACGGGUAAUUUCCUUGCAUGUCAUAAUUAUAAAUUUCCUGCACCCUUGGAUUGUAGUUUCCUCGAUGAGAAGGCAUCGGACCUCUUCCUCCUUGAUAGGAAUCUCUUCCUUCAAGAGCACUAGUCCUCAAAGGUGAAUGAUCUCUCUUUUCUCGAAGCCCUUGUGUAAAGCCACUACCAUAAUUACUCUGGCCUGGUGGAGGCAUAUAGUCUAUCUGCUCUCGUUGAGGCUGAUAAUUUCCUUGCACAUCAUAAUUAUAAAUUUCCUGCCCCCUUUGAAUGUGGUUACCUCGAUGAGAAGGCAUUGGACCUCUUCCUCCUUGAUAGUAAUCUCUUCCUUCAAGAGCGCUAGUAUUCAUAGGUGAAUGAUCUCUCGUUUCCCUAAGCUCUAGGGGACCAUAAUUUUGGGAUGGACCUUGCGGCGAAUAGUUUUGUGAAGCUCUGGAAUGGCAUUCAUCUCCUUGUAUAGAACCCUGUUGAUUAAAAGAUGGAUUAGCUUGCCUAUUCGGUGUUGAUGUAGCUGGCCUCUCAUAUCUUGGUUGAUCCAGAUUUCCGCUACGGUCUUUUCGCACCUGCCUUCCAGCAUAUUGUCCAGGUGGUGGUCUUGGUAUAACCGUUCCAUUGAUAUAUUUAUCUCCUGAUUAUUAAAAAAUAAUGUUGUAAAUUCAAAGGUCAUGAAACAUCUAGUAUUAAACAAAAUUUUCAUCAGGAGGAUACAUCACUUGGUUAACUAUAAAAGAAAAUUCAGUAAUUGACAAAUUGGGCAGUUGCAUACCUCCAUACUCCUUGUUUACUUGAUCAACGUAAGAAUCAGCCAAUACAAACAAAACACCAGGUAGACCUAGUAAAAGAAAGAUUUAAAAUCAGCAUUGCACAUAGCAUUUGAAAAGUGUACUUAGAUGUCAUCAACAACUACCGCGAAAUUUCUCUGAUUCUUCUUUUGUCAUCACAGCCUGAAACCCUUGAUACGUAGUCGUAGUACAAGCAUAAAUCCUUUUUUUUGCUUCUUCCACACUGUUCAUGGUUUGGGAAAAGAAUGUUAAACUAAAGCAUAAUUUUAUCAAAAUUAAUCAUUUCAAAAUACUAGAGCUGUACCAGUUGCAACCCAUUUAAAUGCAAGGAAAAAGGUAAGAAACGGUCUGAACAUAAUAAAGAAUAAACAUUGUACGAAGAUCAUGCAACAGAAACAAAACCAAUAUUCUAUUCAAGCAUGCCAUGGGUAGUUGUAGUUAGACAGAAAAUACACCAAAUUGAGAUAUGUGGGUGUUAAAGGCCAAUUUAAUGCAUGGUAAUCAUAUUGUAGGGCCGUCGCAUAGCCAUACAAUAUCAAAAAGUUAAGAAAACCAGAUGAUAAAUAUCCUGAGGCAACAUUAAAACUUGAACUCGUGAACUUACAAUUAUAUGAACUACAAUAGCUUAAUCUUGUCACUGCUGAUUCAGUCCACAGUGGGGAACGUAAUAAUUCCAUCACAAUUCCAUCAACUAAACCCACAUACUCCAACAAAAACCAAAAAACAUAGGAAGCGAUAUUGCUAGCAUUAGCGAAGAUGUCAAGAAAUCAAGGUUUACUUGUUAAUAAUCAAUUUAAAAUAGUUUGGAGUCAUUUCAUAUACGCGCCAUUUGCAUUGUGAUCGAAAACAGUGAAUGAAUCAAAUUGAUCCUAAAAUAAUACUGGGGAUGUCAUAUAAAUGUCCUUAUCAACAUUUCAUAGGUGAAGGAUUGCAAAAAAAAAAAACCCAAAGUAUGCAUAGCAACACCUAGAGUAAGAAACGAAAAUGCAAAGUAGAAUGGUCAAGAUUCAAGUAAUUUCUAGAGGAAAAAACACGAAUAAUUGAAGAGACAGCUCUAACGAAGUUGCGCCUAUCAUGUACUAUAGAGUAUGGAGGCAACAGAGGCAGAAUGUAAGUUCUAAACCUCAAAGUUUUUUCAGAAGUUAAAAGAAAUCAAACCUAAUAUUUAGGCCUUUGGCACAGGUUUCUUCGUAGGUCCGAACCAUCUCCUCUGUAGUGGGUUUUGAGUCCCUAAAGUCCAUGAUGAUGAGCCAGUGGUUGUAAUCGCAGCCCUCAGGUGUAUCGGUCCAUAUGUCACCGCUCGCAAUAUCGUUCCCUAUCUUGACAUCUUGACUACCGCUAGCAAUAUCCUUCCCUAUCGUUACAUCUUCGCUACCGCUCGCAAUAUCGUCCCCUAUCUUGACAUCUUCGCUACCGCUAGCAUUAUCGUUCCCUAUCUUGACAUCUUCGCUACCGCUCGCAAUAUCGUUCCCUAUCUUCACAUCUUCGCUACCGCUUGCAAUAUCGUUCCCUAUCUUCACAUCUUCGCUACCGCUCGCAAUAUCGGUCCCUAUCUUGUCAUCUUCCCUAUUGCUAGCAAGUGAUAACCAGGAAUAGGAAGAAAUUGACGACAAUCUCAGUGGCCAAUGUGGUGAGAUCAUAGCCGGAGACUUAGAUAAUGACGGAGCGGAAGGACAAAAUAUAGAGUGGCUGGUUUGACCAGAUACUGCCGCAUAACGGUGGAAAGCAGAAAGAAAAGACAAAGUGCGGCGGAGACGAAGUGAAUGAAGGGCCAUGAUCGGUGAAAGACUGUAAUCGGAAUGAAGGAGAAAAGAGACAGGUCGUUAUUACACAUUUCUGUUUAUUUUUCAGUAAAAAACAAGAGAAAGUUACCAGCUACAAAGCACAGUGAUUCGAAAGAAGAUGAAUCCAGUGGAGCGUCAGCCGCAAAACCGACGGGAGCAAAUGCAACCGGCAGUGGCGGCAUGCCGGAGUGCUGGAAGGUAGUCGGAGAUAUUAAGAUGAUUCCAGUGGGACGACGGGCGUGAAGAGAAGUAAUAAAAAAAAAAAACUCGGGUUUAGGGUUUUGGGAUUAAAAUUACGAGAAAAACCCGUUUUGGAGGAAAAAAAAUAUCACAAAUAUCCCACAAGGGGUUUCUUCAAAAAUAAAAAAGUAUUAAGAAAAUAAUUCUAUAUUCAUCUUGAAUUUUGUAUCUUAUUCUAUUUGUUCUGUUCGAUCAUAUUCUCGCCUCUAACAAAAUGAUAAAGUAAAUUAUAUGUUGAUGAUCACGAUGGAUAAUUUGUUUUAAGAAUAUAGAAUUUUAAUUUUUAGUUAAAAACUAGAUAGUAAAUUUAUGUUUAAUAGUAGAACUCAAAAAGUUAAUGUUUUCUAAAAUAUUCAUCAUCGUCAUUUUGGCAGAUUGUCAUCAUUCUAUUUCACUUUCUCAACUCAUAUGUAUAAUUCAUCCAGAUAUAAUUUUUUUAGUACACUCAAGUUUGAGAUAUUUUGUGAUUGAUUGAACUGUUUUUUUUCUUUUUCAUUCCGAUUGAUCUUUCGGUUGGGGGUUUUAUGAUUCAGUGUAGGAAUGUUUGUUUACAAUUGUAGAGCUUAUUUUAAACAAGUGUGUAUUUAUUUUAUUUUUUUGCUAGUUUAUUUUGAACUGCGAUGAAUGUUAAACACUACUGUCAAUUCUAUUUUAAACACCAACAUCUCUUCUGGAUUCGCUUCGAGAUUAUUUCAAUUUGAAAAAUAAAUAAAUGGUGGGAGUUGGAGUUGGGGUUGGAGAGGAGAUGUGAAAGAUUUAAGUUUUGAAGAAAAAAAUAAUAUUAGUUUUUAAUUUAGAUUUAUUUAAUUUGUUAAUUAUAUUUUUAUGAUGGCAUAAAAGAUUUGUAUAAUAAAUUAACAAAAGCUCUUUGAUAUUUAUUAAUUUAAUUAAUAGUGAAUGUAUAGUUUAAUUAUCCAAAUAUAGAAUGCACAUCAUUCUAUAAUAGAAUUCUAAAACAGACCAAAGUAAGCUUUAUUUUCAAAAGUUUGAGGACCGAAAAAGACAAUUUUAAAAAUUUAAGGGCCAAAAUAGAACGAACUAGAUACAAAGUCGAGGGAUCAGAAUAAACUUACUUUGGUGCAUGCCUUUAGAAUUCCAACUUUUUAAUCUAAUGAAGUCACACGUAAUUCGCUACACUAAUUAAAUUGAACCAAGAAAUUUUACUAAUUUAUUCCUACAAAUCUUUUGUGUUGUAUGGAACAAUUUUGAAAAUAAAAAAGACUCACAGACUCACAAUGAAAAAGACAAAAAAUAUCAACCGGUCAGAUCCGUGUGUGUAAUUAUUCUCCUAAAAGAUCACAAUAGACGAUCAUGUCGAUAUUAUCAACACGAUUUUGUAGUUCUUUUCAACAACGAUGGAAAAAAUGUUUCAAAUCUAAACGAUCGUGUUGACUAUGCUAAAAGAUUGUGUUGAUCAAGUAAAUGAUCGUUUAGAUCAUAUAUAUAUAUAUACACGAUUGUGUAUUCCUUUUUAAAUGAUAGUGAAAGGGUUUCAAAUCUAAACAAUUACAUCGAGCAUGCUAAACUAUCAUGUUGACUAGAUAAACAGUUAUUUAAAUCAUAUCAAAGCUAUUGACGAUUAUUCACCCUACUUUUGGUAUUGAACCUCCAUUGUUGUUUGUAAGAAAUGGAGAAGUGUUAACGAAGUCCAGUGAAUGACAUGUGAUUAUGUAUAAAUACUAAAACUCAACCGUUAAAAAAAACUCCCAAUAGAAGGAAAAAUAAUACCAUAUUGAAAAAUUCAACAGGUUCGAAGCUACUAAUCUUUUCAUUAAGAGUUUGGUAUCUGUGGAAGGAGAAAGAGAUACGAGUAAUAGUUUUUAGUAUUUUCGGAUUUUAUCUGGUAAGUCAUGUUCGUACGUUGUUUGAGUAAUGAGUUGCAGUCUUUUUCAAACUAGUUUAAGUAAAGUUUAGAUGGAGCAAAUGACGUUGGUUACUUAAAUCUUUCUUUAAACAGUGUAUUGCUUAUUGAAACGUAUGUAUGUUAUAAAUGAGAUAAUUUUCUUGAAAACGAAACAAAGUCUUUGAACGGAAAGGAAUCAAAUAUGAAUAUAAAUUAGAAAUCUUUACACGUUCAUGCAGUUACAAAUCAUAAAUGUUAGCUAUAUAAUGAUUACAUGAUGGUUUCAAAACUCAAAUCUCUAUUGGGAAGGCAAUUAUUUCAUUUUAAAUAUAGUAUUUUCCUCUUUAUGGUAUUGGUGGUUCAAUGUCACUUUCAUAAUUUUUUUCAUUUGCACUUUGGAGGAGAAAUGACCAAAUAAUUUAUUUGCCAACAACAAUCAUGUUAGAUGAAUUGAUAUUAGAAUUUCUUUAUAUUUAUAUCAUUCUCGUGGCUACAACCUAUUAGAAGGUGUUUGAUUCAAAAGAAAUUGCAAUGGAUGACUAUUUUAACAAUAAUAAUUAAAGAUAUAGUAACAUUUUUAAAAAAUUGUAAAUAUAGCAAAACUAUCACUUAUAGACUUGUAUCGCUAAUAGGCUUCAUAUGGUAUAUAGUGAUAGACCAAUAUUUGCAACAUGGUCUACCAGUGAUAGACUUAUAUCAUUGAUAGAAUUUGACAAAUUUUGCUAUAUUUGCACAUUUUUUAAAAUUGUGUUAUAUACUUAAUUAAUUUGAAUUUAAUCGCUAAAUUUACAACUACCCCUUGACUCAAGGGUUGGGAUUGGAUGGAUUGGACAUCUCGUAGCCCAACCCUUGUUCGAGACGUUCUUAUAGGUUUUCUACUAACUUUUCCACAAGUUUGAAUUAUAAACAAUAUUUAAAACCAUAAGCUACUUUUUAAUUUUUGUACUAACAACAAAGAUAGCAAAUUUAUUCGUGAUUACCAUUCUUUUAAGCUUACAAAUUGAACGUUUGAUUUUUGUUUUUAAGAAAGAAAAACUAAUUAUUACAUGUAGUUGCAAGGCAGAGUACACAUUAAGUCUAUAUAUAUAUAUGUUUGUUUGUUUUCAUCUUAUUCUCCAUUUUCAUUCAUCUUCUUCUAUUUUAUUGUUUUGUUCUCUCUUCUAUCAAUUCUCACAAUGACUCCACCUAUUUUAAUUAUUUAUUUCUUAAGCUUGGUGUUGUUCGUUAAUGUCAUUCCAUUUGACUUCUUCCAGUUUGUUCAACAAUGGGGACCAAAUGUAUGUAAUAACGCUCGUGUCUCCUCGUGAUAUACUCCGCCUCAUCAAGUCAUGUUCACUAUUCAUGGCUUGUGGCCAAGUAAUUAUAGUAAUGUUCAUCUUGUUUUCCUAUCUUUAGUGUUUUAGCUAAUAUAUAAUGUUGUAACAUGCUUUAAUGUUAGGUUAUAUCAGUUGAAGAACAACUGGAUAUAUAUUGGCCAUAUGUAAAAUCUGAGAUCAAUUCUAAAUUUUGAAGUCAUGAAUGGGGCUUUCAUCACGGGAGAUGUACAAAUCCUCCUUUUAGCUUAUUUCAAAAUUUUCAAAUUUCUUUUUAUCUUCGAAAAGGAUAUUCUGUUGGCAAUCGUAAACGUCGUCAAGCUCAACCCUCACAUCUCCAAAGACCUUGUAUUCCAAGCCAUAGUCUGACAUCUACACUGUGUUUUAGCUUUCAACUAAAUUUGUGUGGCUCUUAUAACAAGAGAGAAAUUUGGUGAUAUUUGGCUUUAAGUUUCUUCUUUAUAUUAAAUUGUUGUGUUCACUAAUAUUGUGACCAUUAAGCAGUAGUUAGAUAAAUUUGAAUAAUUUGUUUUCGGAUGUCCAACAGAGACGAUUCUAUAAAUAGCCUUAAAUGUUAAUGAAGCAAAUGAAAAAUUUUAAAUGUACAAAUGGAAUCUUAUGCAAAAAAUACAAAUUUAAUUUUGAUAAAAUCUCAAAGGAAGAGUAAAAGGAAGGUUGAAAUGAAGCAAUUCCGAUGAUGACAAAAAUAAACUUUCACGAAACUGUCCUUUGCUGUCAUUUGCUAAACACCAUUCAAAUAUGAUAUGGCAUACGACGUUUACACUUCUCUUUUUCUCACUUUCUUUAAACAAUUACCAAAAUCCAAGUGGACAAACAAAAUAAGCAAUUCAAAAAUGAAGUAAAAAAAACUUGUAAAAUACAGUUUUUUUUUCCCUAUUUUUGAAAGUAGGCAGAGGAAAUAAUACAAAUUAGUCUACUUGAACAUGCCAAAUACAGAAAGCUAAAGCUAAAGCUAAAAGCUAAGAUGAUGAUGAAAGAGGAAUUGGGUUCACAGCGCAUUGAAUUCUUUGAAAUGCUGUUUUAACUCUUUCCUUGAGAGCUUCAUUAUCACUUUCUACUUCACCACUUUGUUUAUCAACCUCUGCUAUAUUCCCAUCUACGUUAAUCACCAGCUUCCCAUUCUCUCCUAACUUCACAUCGCCGAACAGUGAAACAAGCAGGGCAUGAAUUACCUUCUCUGCUUUCUUCACGUUCUCUUCUUCUGUUUUUAC